Molecule: long non-coding RNA, 740 nt
Organism: Bos taurus (domestic cattle)
Lineage: Eukaryota; Metazoa; Chordata; Mammalia; Artiodactyla; Bovidae
Source: Ensembl
GGAUGAGAGAUUGUGGCUCUGUGGUGACUCCAAUCAUUGAGGGUUUAUCAAUCAUUAAUGAAGACUUUGGGCCUUCUUUGAUAAAGCCUCUACAGCCCAUAGACUAGUGUCCGAUAGACAGAACUUCUUUCUUCUAUAAAGGAGCUGAAAACACCUGGGGGGCCUCAGAAAAUUAGGACUUCUGGGGCCUUGUUUCUUUCUUUUCUGGCCCCAUGCCUUCCAGGAGCACAGGGCAUGGUAAGCACCGAACACCUGCUCAGGGAACCAGUGCUCACCGGCUGUCUUCCUUCCCAACAGUAUAAAGAUUUCUAAUUUGUGGCCAUCUGGCAGGGGACCGGCCCUCCUCAUUCCUUCAUCACCACCAGUAGAGCAGGAAAACAAGCAUGGUUACCACAGCUGCCCCUGGGAGGAUGGAGACUGCAAGGGUCUGCAAGUCCUAAGGAAGGUGACAUGAAUACAGGAUGAACCACUGCCCAGGUGCAGCUGUUGGGAAAGGGCAUGAGGUCGGACUUCACAACAACACUAAUAAAAAUAAGCCACUAUUCUCAGGGGCUGGAGCUGCCCCCUGGCUUGUGCUCCUGAGCAUGCUCCUUGUUGGGUGUUGGGGUGGUAUCACACCCAACAAGGGUGUGUUGUCCCCACAGCAGGGCUGCAAGUUCGGGGCAGAGAAGAAUAAGACAGGAGACCUCAGAGAGGGGCCUGAAGCUUUCUUACCCACUUGUCUACAGAAUAUAGCCACA